UUUAUGGAGAGUUUGAUCCUGGCUCAGGACGAACGCUGGCGGCGUGCUUAACACAUGCAAGUCGAACGGAGCGAAUGAAAGCUUGCUUUUAUGAGCUUAGUGGCAAACGGGUGAGUAACACGUAGACAACCUGCCGACAGGAUGGGGACAACAUUCCGAAAGGAAUGCUAAUACCGAAUGAAGUCAGAGGAGGGCAUCCUUCUCUGAUGAAAGAUGGCCUCUGAAUAUGCUAUCACCUGUUGAUGGGUCUGCGUCUGAUUAGCUCGUUGGUGAGGUAACGGCUCACCAAGGC
This 292-nucleotide ribosomal RNA is filed under the name Rothia mucilaginosa. RNAcentral's name for it is "partial 16S ribosomal RNA". It matches the Rfam family "Bacterial small subunit ribosomal RNA", at positions 1 to 274 of the family's 1533-position model. The record is from RNAcentral. Lineage: Bacteria; Bacillati; Actinomycetota; Actinomycetes; Micrococcales; Micrococcaceae.